RNAcentral lists this ribosomal RNA (507 nucleotides) under uncultured bacterium. RNAcentral describes it as "partial 16S ribosomal RNA". It matches the Rfam family "Bacterial small subunit ribosomal RNA", at positions 28 to 507 of the family's 1533-position model. The record is from RNAcentral.
GACGAACGCUGGCGGCGUGCCUAAUACAUGCAAGUCGAACGCAUUUUCUUUCACCGUAGCUUGCUACACCGAAAGAAAAUGAGUGGCGAACGGGUGAGUAACACGUGGGUAACCUGCCCAUCAGCGGGGGAUAACACUUGGAAACAGGUGCUAAUACCGCAUAAUUCCAUUUACCGCAUGGUAAAUGGAUGAAAGGCGCUUUUGCGUCACUGAUGGAUGGACCCGCGGUGCAUUAGCUAGUUGGUGGGGUAACGGCCUACCAAGGCUGCGAUGCAUAGCCGACCUGGGAGGGUGAUCGGCCACACUGGGACUGAGACACGGCCCAGACUCCUACGGGAGGCAGCAGUAGGGAAUCUUCGGCAAUGGACGCAAGUCUGAACGAGCAACGCCGCGUGAGUGAAGAAGGUUUUCGGAUCGUAAAACUCUGUUGUUAGAGAAGAACAAGGAUGAGAGUGGAAAGUUCAUCCCUUGACGGUAUCUAACCAGAAAGCCACGGCUAACUACGUG